Long non-coding RNA from Episyrphus balteatus (marmalade hoverfly), 967 nucleotides. RefSeq lists it as uncharacterized. Lineage: Eukaryota; Metazoa; Arthropoda; Insecta; Diptera; Syrphidae. The record is from RefSeq and is a predicted model, not a curated record. The transcript has 3 exons.
AAUUUCCCACUAUUUUGACAAAAAUUUGUUUAAAAUAAUAAAUAUUUAACAAGAAUUCAAAAUAAUUUAAACAAAAAUUCACAGAACUUCUGAAAAGCGCAUAAAUUAUUUUCUCAAAGAAUUACGUGUUGUCUCACUUAAAGUUAAUUAAACUUAUUCUAACUGACAGAUUGAUUGUAUGAAGCAAAAGCACACACAAGAGAAGAGUGCGCCACCAUUAUAAAGUAAGUGAUGCUCGCUUUUGUGGAUCAUUGAUAGAAUUUAUUUGCGUACCGCCAAAGCUAUACAAUAUAGCUGAGACUAGACAAAUGCGCUAGCCAGCCGCCUCGCGCCACCAUACCGGACUACCACGACGUCGAAAAUAUAAACGGUUGUGCCAAUACAACACACAGCCAUUUUUAUUAUCUUUUAUUUUUGGUUUAAAAUUAAUGAAAUUCUCAUUGGGCGCAAAAGAUAUGCAGAGAUGCAGACAGAUAGAUAGAAAGAUAGAUAGGUUUAUGUAUACAGAUGGGAAUCAUUUAUGGGGUACUGGUGGAACAUUUCGAAAUUUUACAUCAAAUCGAAUAAGCUUCAAAGUCACAUCCCGUGAAGAAUCGGAUCCAAUUAAAAGCAAUGCCAACAAUGUCGAGUGCCUCCGAUCGAAAACACAUCCUCUCGUCGGAAUAGGUUAAUGAAUUCUAUCUGCGUUUACCUACUCCGGUGAUAUAUGAACACUCUGAGUCACUGGAUUUGAGUCAAUCCAAUGCAAUUUAAACAGAAAUGGUUCCUAAAGACAUCAAACUAAGUUGACCUUGGCAAUAGCAUCGAUUUAACCUUUCUUCGAAAAAAUCAGGUCGUCAGAGAAACAUGUUUUUAUUUCAGAACAAAUGCAUUAUAUUCUAUUUAAUAAAAGUAACCAAUCCAUCGAUUCGGAGUGUUUCAAAAUAGAUUAAAUCUCUUUGUUAUUCCUGCUUAAUUUUGUUUUCUC